RNAcentral lists this long non-coding RNA (1152 nucleotides) under Ficedula albicollis (Collared flycatcher). RNAcentral describes it as "lncRNA (ENSFALG00000026712.1)". The record is from RNAcentral. Lineage: Eukaryota; Metazoa; Chordata; Aves; Passeriformes; Muscicapidae.
CAGGGGUGUCCCCGCGGCGCCGGCACCGCCCUCACGCCCCCGUGUGCCCGCAGAGAACCAGGAGUACUUCGAGAAGCACCGCUGGCCGCCGGUGUGGUACCUGAAGGAGGAGGAUCACUACCAGCGGGCGAAGAAGGAGCGGGAGAAGGAAGAUUACCUGCACCUCAAGCGGCAGCCCAAGAGGCGCUGGCUCUUCUGGAACGCCUCCUCCUCCCCUUCUUCCUCUCCUUCAUCGUCGGCAGCCACAGCCUCCUCUUCCUCCUCCUCCUCCUCCUCCUCGGCUGUGGUUUGAAAGCCCCAGCGAGACGGGGAGGAGGAGGAGGAGGAGGAGGAGGAAGGGUGGGAUGCCCUGCCCCAGCGCCAGGCGUGGAGCGGCACAAGCCCCGCAGCGCAGGCGGUGGCCACUGGGGAGGGGCUCAGGGCCACUGGGGGGGGGGGGGGGGGGGGGGGGGGGGGGGGGGGGGGGGGGGGGGGGGGGGGGGGGGGGGGGGGGGGGGGGGGGGGGGGGGGGGGGGGGGGGGGGGGGGGGGGGGGGGGGGGGGGGGGGGGGGGGGGGGGGGGGGGGGGGGGGGGGGGGGGGGGGGGGGGGGGGGGGGGGGGGGGGGGGGGGGGGGGGGGGGGGGGGGGCCGCAGCGCAGGCGGUGGCUACUGGGGAGGGGCUCAGGGCCACUGGGGAGGGGCUCGGUGGCCACUGGGGAGGGGCUCAGGGCCACCUCCCGGCGCCCCUGGAGCCCUGCAGAGCCCGAGCAGCAGGAGGAACUCGCAGUUUGCAGGAGCACGACGGGCUGUGCCGUGGUUCCGGAGUUUUUGUUGGAAAUUGGUUUUGAUUUUUGGGGGCAGCGUGAGAAAGAAGAAGACAAAGAAGAAGAAGAAGAAGAAGAAGAAGAAGAGACAUAUCCUGCUUCCAUUUUGAUCUGGAACCAGAAGCUCUGGGAUGUGGUUUGGGUGUCUGAUGGCAUCUCACCACCUGGAGCCGCCCUGGGGGUCCCGCAGCCCCCUGCACUCACAGGCACAGGCCAGGGGACCCUGGUCCCCAAAGCCACCAGGCACUGCAGAACAUCCCCUACACGUGGGGUCUGUCCUCAUUCGGGGCACGGAGGGGAUCAGAGUCCUCUCCUCCCUGUUCUUAACUCUUCGGUUUUGUUUAGAUAG